CAAAAACCAGAGAUUACAACAGUAGUAAGGAAAAUCAGAAUGAGAGUGAAAAUCAGCAGGCACCACUCAAUUUAAUCAUGAACACUCUCACAACUAUGCAAAGGCAGAUAAAUGAUCUCGCACAAAAAGAGAAUGUGCCAAUCAAUGUGAACGUAUCAUCAGCUCACUUGAAGGACAGAGAUAAGGAAGAGAAAAACGAGAAUGUUGAGAUUGGGACCAAAGGGAGUGGUGUCAUUAUAAAAAGAAGUCAGUGGUCCGAUGCUGCUGCACAGGCUACUCCAACUUCGAUGGCAACUUGCUUGGUUGACGCUCUUUUCUCCAAAAACAUUUUAUUAAUUAGUAACUUGAAGGGCGGUGCACGUAAAGUGAAAGUUGAAAUUGGGAUGGAAGAACCAUAAAGACACCAAGCUCUUGAUAAGAAAAUUAUGAAGGCGAUUUAUGAUACUGUGGAAACGCAUCACCCAAAGAAAUUCCAUUACGCAUUGACGGGAAAAGCAAUUAACGAUCAUCUUAAUUAUCUCCGUCUCCAGAAAGAGAAAAAUGAUAAACUAGAGAAAACAUUGAUUGAAAUGGAGCAACGAAGACGAUCAAAGGAAACCCCUGACGAAUCAGGGUAGAGUUAGAUGAUAACCUCCUCCUCGCACGUAUCAUGGAUUACUUGACAAUACUGAGUUGUCACUGCUAAAGCCAAAAAAUGAAGGAACCGUUGAAGAAGAAAGAGUGGAAGAAACAGUUAUAUUAAACACGAGAUUUGAGAAGGAGAAGGAGAACGUGAUGUUAAAUUUUGAGUGUUUUUUUUUUGUUUACUGAAAUAUUCUCAUAUAUUCAUCGUUGGAAAAAAAUACGAAGUUUAUUAAUCUGUUUAACAAGCCAUACGAAAAACUUGAGAAUAUUUGAAAAAUUCUUUUAGAGACAGAAGAGUGAGGCAAAGUGGGACGUCUCCAAUCAUCCAUUUCUGGAGAUCAGCAGACUCAAAUUCAAUCUUUUUUUUCUUUAUUUCACAGCUCAAAAAAGGAGUCAUGAUUUGAAAUAAAAGAUGAUUGAAUUCCACUUUGCUGAUCGCAAGUUUUUGCCCCCCUCUUUCCUGCGUGGAGAGAAACAUGACUAUUUGCUCUAUAUUACUUUUUUCAUCAGUUUUUCAUGAUAAAUAUGUAAUAGGAGCUAUGAUUACCGAACAACUUGUGAAUUGGAUUUGAAAAUGAUAUCACGAAUGUCAUCAAUCCAGUGUUCCAUCCGUUAAUAUUAAGUUUAUAAUAGUUUGAAGAGUAUAUGACGUGCUAUGAAUUAUUAUUUUUGUUCCUGGUAGAACUUAUCAAAUAUUAUUGAUAAGAUUUUAUGUUCAUUAUGUUGUUUGAUUUAAGUAAGUCAUAUUUCGUGCUUUCACAUUCGUAAUUAUU
Molecule: long non-coding RNA, 1397 nt
Organism: Diachasma alloeum
Lineage: Eukaryota; Metazoa; Arthropoda; Insecta; Hymenoptera; Braconidae
Exons: 4
Source: RefSeq, a predicted model, not a curated record